RNAcentral lists this ribosomal RNA (490 nucleotides) under uncultured bacterium. RNAcentral's name for it is "bacterial SSU rRNA". It matches the Rfam family "Bacterial small subunit ribosomal RNA", at positions 52 to 519 of the family's 1533-position model. The record is from RNAcentral.
UACAUGCAAGUCGAGCGGAAACGACUUAACUGAACCUUCGGGGGACGUUAAGGGCGUCGAGCGGCGGACGGGUGAGUAAUGCUUAGGAAUUUGCCCAGUCGAGGGGGAUAACCAUUGGAAACGAUGGCUAAUACCGCAUACGCCCUACGGGGGAAAGAGGGGGAUGCUUUUGCACCUUUCGCGAUUGGAUAAGCCUAAGUGAGAUUAGCUAGUUGGUGAGGUAAAGGCUCACCAAGGCGACGAUCCCUAGCUGUUCUGAGAGGAUGAUCAGCCACACUGGGACUGAGACACGGCCCAGACUCCUACGGGAGGCAGCAGUGGGGAAUAUUGCACAAUGGGCGCAAGCCUGAUGCGGCCAUGCCGCGUGUGUGAAGAAGGCCUUCGGGUUGUAAAGCACUUUCAGUGGUGAGGAAAGGGUAAUCGUUAAUAGCGAUUACAGUUGACGUUAGCCACAGAAGAAGCACCGGCUAACUCCGUGCCAGCAGCCGCG